Molecule: non-coding RNA, 47 nt
Organism: Lucilia cuprina (Australian sheep blowfly)
Lineage: Eukaryota; Metazoa; Arthropoda; Insecta; Diptera; Calliphoridae
Source: Rfam
UAAGCAGUUUUCUUUAAAACUACAAAAUAUAAUUUAAUGAAUUUUGU